CCUACGGGAGGCAGCAGUGAGGAAUAUUGGUCAAUGGACGAGAGUCUGAACCAGCCAAGUAGCGUGAAGGAUGACUGCCCUAUGGGUUGUAAACUUCUUUUAUAUGGGAAUAAGAUGUUUCACGUGUGGGAUUUUGUAUGUACCAUAUGAAUAAUGAUCGGCUAACUCCGUGCCAUCAGCCGCGGUACUACAGAGGAUCCGAGCGUUAUCCGGAUUUAUUGGGUUUAAAGGGAGCGUAGGUGGAGUGUUAAGUCAAGUGUGAAAGUUUGCGGCUCAACGGGAAAAGUGCAGUUGAAACUGGCAGUCUUGAGUACAGUAGAGGAGGGCGGAAUUCGUGGUGUAGCGGUGAAAUGCUUAGAUAUCACGAAGAACUCCGAUUGCGAAGGCAGUUAACUGGACUGCAACUGACACUGAGGCGCGAAAGUGUGGGUAUCAAACAGGAUUAGAUACCCGUGUAGUC
Molecule: ribosomal RNA, 460 nt
Filed under: uncultured bacterium
Lineage: Bacteria
Description: partial 16S ribosomal RNA
Rfam family: Bacterial small subunit ribosomal RNA
Source: RNAcentral